This 19-nucleotide non-coding RNA is filed under the name Arabidopsis thaliana (thale cress). Lineage: Eukaryota; Viridiplantae; Streptophyta; Magnoliopsida; Brassicales; Brassicaceae. The record is from RNAcentral.
GGAAUCGGUGUUUCUUUUC